Molecule: long non-coding RNA, 483 nt
Organism: Harpia harpyja (harpy eagle)
Lineage: Eukaryota; Metazoa; Chordata; Aves; Accipitriformes; Accipitridae
Exons: 4
Source: RefSeq, a predicted model, not a curated record
CCCCCCCCCCCCCCCCCGGGGCCGGGCUCGCCGCUCUCUCACAGGAGGAGCUGGGGCGAGGCGGGAGCAGGCGAGGAACGGCCCCCGCCCGCGGCGGGAAGGUUGCGGGUUCCCUACCAGAGGAGAUGCCUCGGUCACACCCCGGGACGCACGAGAGGAAACGGCCUCGCGGCGCCAGGCAUCGCCGCCGAUAUUCGCUGCUGGCCGAGGUCAGACAGAGAUGGGCAGUAGUACGAACGGCAAUAUCAGUCAUCCAAUGCUGUAGCAGCACUCCGAUCUGCACGAUUGAAAGGUUUUGAAAAACAUCUCAUCUAGAAAUCAGACCUUUUGCAUAAAGGCUUUCAGAUGACACUGCAUCUUACAGCUAUGUCUUCAGGAAGGACUGCUUCUGCACAGGAAUGAAGAGAGACUGAAACUUCAGCAGCAAAUUGUACUCCGUGCGUUACUUGGACAUAGAUUUGCUGAAACAGAUGGGUUUACUUG